GGGUAGGGGGUGGGUGGGGGGGGUGUAAGAGUUAGGGGGUGGGGGUUGAUGGGAGUGACUGGGCGGUGAGCGGGCGCAGGCGGGUUGGGCAGGCGGAUGUGAAAUCCCCGGGCGGAACCUGGGAAGGGCAGUUGGGAGUGAAAGGCUGGAGUGCGGCAGAGGAGGCUGGAAUGCCUGGGGUAGCAGUGAAAUGCGUAGAUAUGAGGAGGAACACCGAUGGCGAAGGGAGGUCUCUGGGCGGACACUGACGCUCAUGCACGAAAGCGUGGGGAGCAAACAGGAUUAGAUACCCUGGUAGUC
RNAcentral lists this ribosomal RNA (300 nucleotides) under uncultured Thermogemmatispora sp. RNAcentral describes it as "partial 16S ribosomal RNA". The stretch from base 52 to 300 matches the Rfam family "Bacterial small subunit ribosomal RNA", at positions 547 to 795 of the family's 1533-position model. Lineage: Bacteria; Bacillati; Chloroflexota; Ktedonobacteria; Thermogemmatisporales; Thermogemmatisporaceae. The record is from RNAcentral.